UGAAACCGUUUAGGGGUAAACCUGAGAAACCCGAAAGAUUGAAGGAAGAAAUUCAUUCGCGUUUCGAUACAGGCAAUGGAAAAUUAUAUGACAGAUGUAAUAUUAUUUAUUUAAUAUUAUGACGCAUUAAUUUUUCAUUUGAUCCAGUAACGAACGUGUGCACUUUUCUUCUGGUAGGACGUCGCAAUCCGUUGAGUGUCGAUCUACGGUUUUUACAGUGGAGAUCAAUUGUAUUAUAUUUUUAUCGGUAUUAAUAUGAGUGAACCUGUAUUAUCUGAUCGAUAAAGAAUAACUCUCGACGGUAGACCAUAUGGUUUGGGGCCGCUCUUUUAUUGAGCGUUCGACUCGUAACAAGCGCGCUAGAUGUGUUGAAGUCCGGACUUAGUGCCGGUCCCAACCUCUAGUGACUGUUCGUUACGAUGUUCUCGAACAGACCUUACUAAAAAACCGAUUGGCGACGCUAUAGCUUUGGGUAAUUUCAGGACCCGUCUUGAAACACGGACCAAGGAGUCUAGCAUGUACGCAAGUCAUUGGGAAUUAUUAAACCUAAAGGCGUAAUGAAAGUAAAGAUCUUUCUUGUAGAGAUCGAGGGAAGAAGAAUGGGUUUUUAAUUAGUUUUUAUAGGCUACCAUUCUGCAUUCCCGGGGCGUUUCAUUCUCAUUGUGAGUGGAGGCGCACUAAGAGCGUACACGCUGGGACCCGAAAGAUGGUGAACUAUGCCUGGUCAGGAUGAA
Molecule: ribosomal RNA, 734 nt
Filed under: Indocryphalus sordidus
Lineage: Eukaryota; Metazoa; Arthropoda; Insecta; Coleoptera; Curculionidae
Description: partial large subunit ribosomal RNA
Rfam family: Eukaryotic large subunit ribosomal RNA
Source: RNAcentral